Molecule: ribosomal RNA, 492 nt
Filed under: uncultured bacterium
Lineage: Bacteria
Description: partial 16S ribosomal RNA
Rfam family: Bacterial small subunit ribosomal RNA
Source: RNAcentral
AGUGAACGCUGGCGGUAGGCCUAACACAUGCAAGUCGAACGGCAGCACAGUAAGAGCUUGCUCUUACGGGUGGCGAGUGGCGGACGGGUGAGGAAUACAUCGGAAUCUACUUUUUCGUGGGGGAUAACGUAGGGAAACUUACGCUAAUACCGCAUACGACCUACGGGUGAAAGCAGGGGAUCUUCGGACCUUGCGCGAUUGAGUGAGCCGAUGUCGGAUUAGCUAGUUGGCGGGGUAAAGGCCCACCAAGGCGACGAUCCGUAGCUGGUCUGAGAGGAUGAUCAGCCACACUGGAACUGAGACACGGUCCAGACUCCUACGGGAGGCAGCAGUGGGGAAUAUUGGACAAUGGGCGCAAGCCUGAUCCAGCCAUACCGCGUGGGUGAAGAAGGCCUUCGGGUUGUAAAGCCCUUUUGUUGGGAAAGAAAAGCAGCAGGUUAAUACCCCGCUGUUCCGACGGUACCCAAAGAAUAAGCACCGGCUAACUUCGUG